RNAcentral lists this non-coding RNA (122 nucleotides) under Compsopogon caeruleus. The record is from RNAcentral. Lineage: Eukaryota; Rhodophyta; Compsopogonophyceae; Compsopogonales; Compsopogonaceae.
GGAUUGGCAACGGUGGACUUCACGAUUGGGAAUCCAUUGACGGAGGUUAUGCAAGGACGGUUGCACUUGUACCGAAGGUUAGUAGGGGAGGGCAGCUCUAACGGAGUUAAUGGAGUAGGAAA